RNAcentral lists this long non-coding RNA (146 nucleotides) under Sus scrofa (pig). Its description in RNAcentral is "lncRNA (ENSSSCG00070010993.1)". The record is from RNAcentral. Lineage: Eukaryota; Metazoa; Chordata; Mammalia; Artiodactyla; Suidae.
GUGGACGGGGCGGACGAUGAAAUCUGAACUCACGACGACGAUGUUGUGGAGGCCGGUGGGAGUGAGAAGACUGAGGCAAAGCCCCGGGCUGGGGGACAUGAGGACGAGGCGGCCCCAGUACCUGAGGUGGAGGUGGAGGAGGAGGC